Molecule: RNA transcript, 1891 nt
Organism: Mytilus californianus (California mussel)
Lineage: Eukaryota; Metazoa; Mollusca; Bivalvia; Mytilida; Mytilidae
Exons: 3
Source: RefSeq, a predicted model, not a curated record
AUUUAUCUUUAAUACUACACAAUAUGACAAAGUGAAUCUGUAAAACCGGAAGUGGAAAUAUUGGAAUGAGUCAAUGUAGGCGUUCAACAUUAAUUACGUUUUAAAACAUUGAAUAAUUGGUGUGCCGUUGCAAUGAAUCACAAUGGACACAAACUGUAGAAACCAUCAGAAUAUGUAUGGAAUACGAAAAGUAACUUACUGGGAAAAAUACGGCGUUAAACGUUUUCCUUAUCGUGGAAAGCGCCGUUACACACCAUUAAUUUUCCAAGCUUCCGACGGAGGAAUCACAAUAUCAAAUAACGUUUUUGGACUGACAAUUAGACAGUUUGAAGAAAUGUAUAAAGAUUGUUUAGAUAGGAAGAAAAAACAAGAACAGUGGAUACUAAACCUUAGAUAUCCUGACAAAUCUUCAAACGAAUAUUUAGAAUACUUACAGAUUUGUACCGACAGCAAUAAAGAUCACUUACUUUGGCCUGGUAGUCACUUGAAGGAAAAAUACUUAUACGAACACCUAGUAAAUACAGUUGGUACUGAACUAGAUAUCUGUACUAGACAAAGAUUAUUUAUUAUUGAUGAUACUGUAACAAACGGCCGCCACAGGCCGAGUAAUUGUGGAAGGGUCUGUUGACAAUUUUUAGGGCCCAUUAUGCUCUCUUCCGGAAUAUACUGCAUCUUUGAUUUCCUACCUCCGAAGACGAAUGGAUGCCAGGCAAUACACUCAUUAUACUCCAUAUUCGGGUUGUAAAAUAAAGUUCUAACGUAUAUUAUAUUUAUUUACAUAUAUAUAUAUAUAUAUACACAAAUGCAGACGCCUUAGUUAGUAAUAAUUUUCGGGACAUUUAGGUCACUCAGUGUGGUUGGGGAUAACUGCCGCUACAUUACUUUCCCUUAAAAAUACUUCAUCUUAUCAUAAUGAAAUAAAGUAUAUUAACCUGCUUGGCUUUUCUGUUUGGAAUUGGUCUGGUAAUGAUAAACUUUCAAGAAGAUGGUUAAGCUUACUAGUUAGGCUUGAGCUAACAAGUUAUCCGCCAUUUCACUGAGCAGAGCCCUAUUUAUACUCUUUUGAGAUCCCUGAAAGCCAAUCGAAAAUAAGGGAUCUGGCCAGGGAUCCCUGAGGGCCAAUGAGAACCCAGUCAGGACUGACAGGAAAAUGUCCGACAAAAUAGGGGCUUUACAGGAAAACCUGCACAUUAAGAAAUAAUAUACAAAAUGGACAUUAAAAUGCCUGUCCAUUAAUUAUCAAAGGGAUGGGACUUAGUUUUAACUUUUCCUCUAUUAAACUUUAUAGUUAGAAGCUUAAAUAUUUGUAACUAGACUUGUUUCCAAGUUCUAGCAGUGCGUAGUACUAGCAGACGCCGGGAGUACUUAUAUUAAAUUCCAGCGGUAAACUGGUUAACAAUAUAAUUCCUAUAAACUAUUCUUUUACAGGUAUAAACAUUGAAGCUUUAAUAAAAUUAUUAAUACAAUGCCUUAUUUCUUACUCUUUAAGACUACUUUUGAUAUUUAAGGUAUAACGAUACAACGACAAAAAUAUUUCCUACUGCGGUCACAUGAUCAGUAAAAUGGCUCUUCACAGAGAAACGAGAAACAUGGUUUUGACCGAUAGUAAAAUCUUAAAUAUUUCCUUACUUAGACACUUUCAGGACUUAUAAUGGGUUGAAAUAUAAUUUCAGGUAUAUGAAUAUUUGUGCCAGACACCUUACGAUCUUUAAAAAAUAUGUUAUCAAGUUAAACGAGUUUGGUAAACAAGUGGAAGGGGGCACUUGCCAAAAAAAUGGAAAAAGUUAAAAGAUACAAAAAUUACAAUAUGUGCAGUUCAAAUUAAUGUUCAUAAAGUCAAUAAUAUUUUCUGUUGCAGGUUAUCACCAAAUAAAGUUUAUAUCCAUCUGUA